Molecule: ribosomal RNA, 253 nt
Filed under: uncultured bacterium
Lineage: Bacteria
Description: partial 16S ribosomal RNA
Rfam family: Bacterial small subunit ribosomal RNA
Source: RNAcentral
UACAGAGGUCCCAAGCGUUGUUCGGAUUCACUGGGCGUAAAGGGUGCGUAGGUGGCCGGGUAAGUCUGACGUGAAAUCUCCGAGCCUAACUCGGAAACUGCAUCGGAUACUAUCCGGCUUGAGGAUUGGAGGGGGGACUGGAAUACUUGGUGUAGCAGUGAAAUGCGUAGAUAUCAAGUGGAACACCAGUGGCGAAGGCGAGUCCCUGGACAAUUCCUGACGCUGAGGCGCGAAAGCUAGGGGAGCAAACGGG